AUUCCUGGAUAUUGACGAAGACUGAUGGCGGGUUAUUAGGAGCUUUCGAGAGCAAAAUCCUUCAAAGAUAUGUGGGUCAAUUUGCGUUAGUGAUGCACACCGAACCACGAGCUGUACACCGACAUCGAUGUAGUGAACCGCAUUAAAAUUCCGCGGCUUCGCUGGCUAGGUCACGUUGAGCGAAUGGAUAAUAACGCUCCAGCAAAGAAGAUCCUCUGUUCGAUGUGUACUGGUAGAACUCGCAAAAAGGGAUGUCCUCAUCUACAUUGGAAAGACCAAGUCGACGGCAAUCUGGUCGCCCUUGGCGUUUUUAACUGUCGUCAAUGCAGAGGUGAUUGGCGCAAUAGUUUGGCAGCAGCCAAGACCGACUAUCGGUACCAGGUGCCAGCUAAGUAAGUAGUUAUUCGAUGAUUAUCCAAUCCGAUGUCCUGUAUUAUUUCGACGAUUUCUGGUGUUGUUGGUGUUUUUGGACGUUCCUGACGUGGAUGGUCUUGAAGGCUGGUACGACCACGUUUAAACGCAGCAACCCAUCCUUCUACUGUACUAAUUGAUGGCUAAAGAUAAUCCCAUACAGAGAGAGACAAAGCGACGUUUUUAGAAGACCUCCCGGAGAUUGAUCACUAUUUUAAAGAAAACCAAAAAUAUCAAAAUGAUGAUGAUUAUGAUGAUGAAUAAUU
Molecule: long non-coding RNA, 677 nt
Organism: Anastrepha obliqua
Lineage: Eukaryota; Metazoa; Arthropoda; Insecta; Diptera; Tephritidae
Exons: 3
Source: RefSeq, a predicted model, not a curated record